UACGUAGGGGGCAAGCGUUGUCCGGAAUCAUUGGGCGUAAAGCGCGUGUAGGCGGCCCAGUAAGUCCGCUGUGAAAGCCCAGGGCUCAACCCUGGGAUGCCGGUGGAUACUGUUGGGCUCGAGUCCGGAAGAGGCGAGUGGAAUUCCCGGUGUAGCGGGGAAAUGCGCAGAUAUCGGGAGGAACACCAAUGGCGAAGGCAGCUCGCUGGGACGUGACUGACGCUGAGACGCGAAAGCGUGGGGAGCAAACAGG
This 253-nucleotide ribosomal RNA is filed under the name uncultured bacterium. RNAcentral describes it as "partial 16S ribosomal RNA". It matches the Rfam family "Bacterial small subunit ribosomal RNA", at positions 524 to 776 of the family's 1533-position model. The record is from RNAcentral.